This 487-nucleotide ribosomal RNA is filed under the name uncultured bacterium. RNAcentral's name for it is "partial 16S ribosomal RNA". It matches the Rfam family "Bacterial small subunit ribosomal RNA", at positions 28 to 507 of the family's 1533-position model. The record is from RNAcentral.
GAUGAACGCUAGCGGCAGGCUUAACACAUGCAAGUCGAGGGGCAUCGCGGCGGUUGCGACACCGCUUGCGGCGACCGGCGCACUGGUGAGUCACACGUAUGCGACCUGCCCCCUACAGGGGAAUAACCCGCGGAAACGCGGCCUAAUGCCCCAUAGUCCCGUCAGGCCCAUGCCUUACGGGGGAAAGGUCCGCCGGUAGGGGACGGGCAUGUGGCGCAUUAGCUGGUUGGGGGGGCAACGGCCCACCAAGGCUACGAUGCGUAGGGGCUCUGAGAGGAGUGGCCCCCACACGGGAACUGAGACACGGGCCAGACUCGUACGGGAGGCAGCAGUGAGGAAUGUUGGUAGAUGGGAGUUAGCCAGAACGAGCCAAGGCGCGUGAGGGAAGUAGGGCGUCAGGAUCGUGAACCUCUUUAGCGGAGGAGCAACGCGGCCCACGCGUGGGGCGGUGAGCGUACCCGGAGAAUAAGCAUCGGCUAACUCAGUG